Molecule: ribosomal RNA, 253 nt
Filed under: uncultured bacterium
Lineage: Bacteria
Description: partial 16S ribosomal RNA
Rfam family: Bacterial small subunit ribosomal RNA
Source: RNAcentral
GACGAAGGGGGCUAGCGUUGUUCGGAAUUACUGGGCGUAAAGCGCGUGUAGGCGGUUGCCAAAGUCGGGUGUGAAAGCCUUGAGCUUAACUCAAGAAAUGCACUCGAUACUUGGUGACUAGAGGACCGGAGAGGAUAGUGGAAUUCCCAGUGUAGUGGUGAAAUACGUAGAGAUUGGGAAGAACACCAGUGGCGAAGGCGGCUAUCUGGACGGUUUCUGACGCUGAGACGCGAAAGCGUGGGUAGCAAACAGG